RNAcentral lists this ribosomal RNA (446 nucleotides) under uncultured bacterium. RNAcentral's name for it is "bacterial SSU rRNA". It matches the Rfam family "Bacterial small subunit ribosomal RNA", at positions 330 to 793 of the family's 1533-position model. The record is from RNAcentral.
CCCAGACUCCUACGGGAGGCAGCAGUGGGGAAUAUUGCACAAUGGGGGAAACCCUGAUGCAGCAACGCCGCGUGAGUGAAGAAGUCAUUCGUGAUGUAAAGCUCUAUCAGCAGGGAAGAAAAUGACGGUACCUGACUAAGAAGCCCCGGCUAACUACGUGCCAGCAGCCGCGGUAAUACGUAGGGGGCAAGCGUUAUCCGGAUUUACUGGGUGUAAAGGGAGCGUAGACGGCGACGCAAGUCUGAAGUGAAAGCCCGGGGCUCAACCGCGGGACUGCUUUGGAAACUGUUAAGCUGGAGUGCAGGAGAGGUAAGUGGAAUUCCUAGUGUAGCGGUGAAAUGCGUAGAUAUUAGGAGGAACACCAGUGGCGAAGGCGGCUUACUGGACUGUAACUGACGUUGAGGCUCGAAAGCGUGGGGAGCAAACAGGAUUAGAUACCCGGGUAC